AGCAGCCGCGGUAAUUCCAGCUCCAAUAGCGUAUAUUAAAGUUGCUGCAGUUAAAAAGCUCGUAGUUGAAUUUCGGGACCAUCAUGUUGGUCGUGCCUCGGUACGUACUGGCAUUGUUGGUUUCUCCCUUCUGACGAACCAUGAUGUCAUUUAUUUGGUGUCGUGGGAAAUCAGGACUGUUACUUUGAAAAAAUUAGAGUGUUUAAAGCAGGCUCACGCUUGAAUACAUUAGCAUGGAAUAAUGAAAUAGGACGUUUGAUUCUAUUUUGUUGGUUUCUAGGAUCGACGUAAUGAUUAAUAGGGAUAGUUGGGGGCAUUAGUAUUCAAUUGUCAGAGGUGAAAUUCUUGGAUUUAUUGAAGACUAACUACUGCGAAAGCAUUUGCCAAGGAUGUUUUCAUUAAUCAAGAACGAAAGUUAGGGGAUCGAAGACGAUCAGAUACCGUCGUAGUCUUAACCAUAAACUAUGCCGACUAGGGAUCGGAUGAUGUUAAUUUUUUAAUGACUCAUUCGGCGCCUUAC
This 520-nucleotide small RNA is filed under the name uncultured Glomus. RNAcentral's name for it is "SSU rRNA". It matches the Rfam family "Eukaryotic small subunit ribosomal RNA", at positions 569 to 1091 of the family's 1831-position model. The record is from RNAcentral. Lineage: Eukaryota; Fungi; Glomeromycota; Glomeromycetes; Glomerales; Glomeraceae.